CUUGGGGACUUCUUCGUAUACCAGUCAGACCUGUGUAGUUGUCAUUGCAGUCAGAACUCAACAUGGACAUGAGGGUCUGUGCUCAGUUUCUUGGGCUCCUGUUGCUCUGGUUUCCAGAUGCCAGUUGUGAAAUCCAGAUGACCCAGUCUCCAUCCUCCCUGCAUGCAUCUCUGGGAGACAAAAUCACCAUCGGAUGCAGGGCAACUGAGGGUAUUAGCAAUUAUUUAAACUGGUAUCAGCAGAAACCAGAUGGAACUAUUAAACGCCUGAUCUACUACACAUCCAGUUUACAAUCUGGUGUCCCAUCAAGGUUCAGUGGCAGUGGGUCUGGUACAGAUUAUUCUCUCACCAUCAGCAGCCUGGAAUCUGAAGAUGUUGCAACAUAUUUCUGUCUGCAGUAUUAUAAUUCUCCCACAGUGAUACAAGACAUAACAUAA
Non-coding RNA from Grammomys surdaster, 437 nucleotides. The record is from the annotation of a RefSeq genome assembly. Lineage: Eukaryota; Metazoa; Chordata; Mammalia; Rodentia; Muridae.